UCUGCAAGAACUGUGUGUAUCGGCUUUACGCUUUCUGCUGUGCGUUCCUUGCCGAAAGUAUCUCUUGCUAUAUCAAUUUGAGCAAAGUGGGCAGUUAGGUUAAACUUGACUUAUUUGUUUUCCCUAACAAUCAUUUUCCUCUCAUGU
Molecule: small nucleolar RNA, 147 nt
Organism: Lolium rigidum
Lineage: Eukaryota; Viridiplantae; Streptophyta; Magnoliopsida; Poales; Poaceae
Product: small nucleolar RNA snoR135
Exons: 1
Source: RefSeq, a predicted model, not a curated record